This 389-nucleotide unclassified non-coding RNA is filed under the name Hevea brasiliensis (rubber tree). Lineage: Eukaryota; Viridiplantae; Streptophyta; Magnoliopsida; Malpighiales; Euphorbiaceae. The record is from RNAcentral.
GCACAAUUCAAUUAAACAUCCUCUUCCAGCUUAAUUAGCAAAUCAAUAUAUGUGCAUCAGAACCCAAAAGAUAACAACAAGGCUUUGGGGAUUCUUAAAAAGAACAAGAGUGAAAUUUAAAAGUAUUCAAAUUGUCCUAGAGACUGACACGUAUUUGCAUUUUUUAAGCCUGUCUAUAUUUUUUUAAGCCUGUCAUCAACUAAUUGUAAGAUCAGAGAUGCAUGGGAGUGUUCAGCUUUUCAUUAGUCAUUGCAAGACAACUGCUGUCGAUUGUCCCUUGGCCUUGCUAAGAUGUAGAAUCCAUGGCCUUAAGAUAUCUAGUUGUGCAGUUCCGGACUAGGAUGAGUUGAACUUUAAUCUGAGGUUGUUCACCAUUUCACCAUCUACAU